RNAcentral lists this unclassified non-coding RNA (331 nucleotides) under soil metagenome. RNAcentral's name for it is "partial contains 5.8S ribosomal RNA, internal transcribed spacer 2, and large subunit ribosomal RNA". The stretch from base 1 to 120 matches the Rfam family "5.8S ribosomal RNA", at positions 35 to 154 of the family's 154-position model. The record is from RNAcentral.
GAUGAAGAACGUAGCGAAAUGCGAUAAGUAAUGUGAAUUGCAGAAUUCAGUGAAUCAUCGAAUCUUUGAACGCACAUUGCGCCCCCUGGUAUUCCGGGGGGCAUGUCUGUUCGAGCGUCAUUUCACCACUCAAGCCUCGCUUGGUAUUGGGCAACGCGGUCCGCCGCGUGCCUCAAAUCGUCCGGCUGGGUCUUCUGUCCCCUAAGCGUUGUGGAAACUAUUCGCUAAAGGGUGUUCGGGAGGCUACGCCGUAAAACAACCCCAUUUCUAAGGUUGACCUCGGAUCAGGUAGGGAUACCCGCUGAACUUAAGCAUAUCAAUAAGCGGAGGA